UUUCCGUAGGUGAACCUGCGGAAGGAUCAUUCAUAAUAAGUGUUUUAUGGCACUUUUUUAAAUCCAUAUCCACCUUGUGUGCAAUGUCAGGGUUGAUUUUUCUCUCGAGAGGAUCAACCCCAAACAUCAACUAUAUCUCAACUCUUUGUCUAAAAAAUAUUAUGGAUAAAACAAUUCAAAAUACAACUUUCAACAACGGAUCUCUUGGCUCUC
RNAcentral lists this unclassified non-coding RNA (213 nucleotides) under plant metagenome. RNAcentral's name for it is "partial contains small subunit ribosomal RNA, internal transcribed spacer 1, and 5.8S ribosomal RNA". The record is from RNAcentral.